UACAGAGGUCUCAACCGUUGUUCGGAUUCAUUGGGCGUAAAGGGUGCGUAGGCGGUCGCGCAAGUCGGAUGUGAAAUCUCCGAGCUUAACUCGGAAACUGCCGUUGAUACUAUUUGUCUUGAAUAUUGUGGAGGUAAGCGGAAUAUGUCAUGUAGCGGUGAAAUGCUUAGAUAUGACAUAGAACACCAAUUGCGAAGGCAGCUUACUACACAACGAUUGACGCUGAGGCACGAAAGCGUGGGGAUCAAACAGG
RNAcentral lists this ribosomal RNA (253 nucleotides) under uncultured bacterium. RNAcentral's name for it is "partial 16S ribosomal RNA". It matches the Rfam family "Bacterial small subunit ribosomal RNA", at positions 524 to 776 of the family's 1533-position model. The record is from RNAcentral.